This is a long non-coding RNA of Amphimedon queenslandica, 255 nucleotides long. RefSeq lists it as uncharacterized. The transcript has 2 exons. Lineage: Eukaryota; Metazoa; Porifera; Demospongiae; Haplosclerida; Niphatidae. The record is from RefSeq and is a predicted model, not a curated record.
UCUCUCUCUCUCUCUCUCUCUCAGUGAAUUUCACACUGACUUCCCAUCAGCUUCAAAAGUGGUCCAAGUUAGUACAGAGUUUCAUCAUUUUGAUAAAUCAGUCAUGAAGAUACAAGUCGAUGAACGACCGAAAUUCCUCGAUGCAUUAUCAGCAUUGAAUUUAUAGCUAUACUAUUUAUUAUUAUUAUUUUAUUUAUUAUUUUUUAACUCCAAAAACAGUGAAGACAAGUAUUUCAAUAAAUAUUUAUAACAGUA